This 1490-nucleotide ribosomal RNA is filed under the name uncultured Bacteroidota bacterium. RNAcentral's name for it is "bacterial SSU rRNA". It matches the Rfam family "Bacterial small subunit ribosomal RNA". The record is from RNAcentral. Lineage: Bacteria; Pseudomonadati; Bacteroidota.
UUCGCCCUUAGAGUUUGAUCCUGGCUCAGGAUGAACGCUAGCGGCAGGCCUAAUACAUGCAAGUCGAGCGGUAACAUAGAAGCUUGCUUCUGAUGACGAGCGGCAAACGGGUGCGUAACACGUAUGUAACUUACCCCUAACAGAAAGAUAGCCCAUGGAAACGUGGAUUAAUAUUUCAUAAUACUAGAACCGCAUGGUUCGAAGUUAAAAGAUCCGUCGGUUAGGGAUGGACAUGCGGCCUAUUAGCUAGUUGGUAAGGUAAUGGCUUACCAAGGCAACGAUAGGUAGGGGGCGUGAGAGCGUGAUCCCCCACACGGGCACUGAGACACGGGCCCGACUCCUACGGGAGGCAGCAGUAAGGAAUAUUGGUCAAUGGAGGAAACUCUGAACCAGCCAUGCCGCGUGCAGGAAGACGGCCCUCUGGGUUGUAAACUGCUUUUAUAUGCAAAGAAAAACAUCUUUUCUAGGGUGUCUGACGGUAGCAUACGAAUAAGGACCGGCUAACUCCGUGCCAGCAGCCGCGGUAAUACGGAGGGUCCAAGCGUUAUCCGGAAUCACUGGGUUUAAAGGGUGCGUAGGUGGUUAUUUAAGUCAGAAGUGAAAUCUUGCAGCUCAACUGUAAAACUGCUUUUGAAACUGAAUAACUUGAAUAUUUUUGAUGUGGGCGGAAUGAGUCAUGUAGCGGUGAAAUGCGUAGAUAUGACUCAGAACACCGAUUGCGAAGGCAGCUCACAAAGAAAUAUUGACACUGAGGCACGAAAGCGUGGGUAGCGAACAGGAUUAGAUACCCUGGUAGUCCACGCCGUAAACGAUGUUUACUCGUUAUUUAUGCGAUAUAGUAUAAGUGACCAAGCGAAAGCGUUAAGUAAACCACCUGGGAAGUACGGUCGCAAGGCUGAAACUCAAAGGAAUUGGCGGGGGUCCGCACAAGCGGUGGAGUAUGUGGUUUAAUUCGAUGAUAAGCGAGGAACCUUACCUGGAUUCAAUUCAAGUUGACAGUCUUAGAGAUAAGAUCUUCUUCGGACAACUUGAAAGGUGCUGCAUGGUUGUCGUCAGCUCGUGCCGUGAGGUGUUGGGUUAAGUCCCGCAACGAGCGCAACCCUUACCUUUAGUUGCCAGCACAUUAUGGUGGGAACUCUAGAGGAACUGCCUUCGUAAGGAGGAGGGAGGUGGGGAUGACGUCAAAUCAUCAUGGCCCUUAAGUCCAGGGCUACACACGUACUACAAUGGUCGGUACAAAGGGUUGCGACAUAGCGAUAUGAAGCCAAUCCCUAAAAGCCGAUCUCAGUUCGGAUCGAAGUCUGCAACUCGACUUCGUGAAGCUGGAAUCGCUAGUAAUCGCGUAUCAGCAAUGACGCGGUGAAUACGUUCCCGGACCUUGCACACACCGCCCGUCAAGCCAUGGAAGUUGGGGGCGCCUGAAGUCGGUAACCGUAAGGAGCCGCCUAGGGCGAAACUAGUAACUGGGGUUAAGUCGUAACAAGGUAACC